Molecule: ribosomal RNA, 207 nt
Filed under: uncultured bacterium
Lineage: Bacteria
Description: partial 16S ribosomal RNA
Rfam family: Bacterial small subunit ribosomal RNA
Source: RNAcentral
CGCGUAGGCGGCUAUGCAAGUCAGAUGUGAAAGCCCGCGGCUCAACCGUGGAAGAGCAUUUGAAACUGGAUGGCUUGAGUACUGGAGGGGGUAGUGGAAUUCCCGGUGUAGAGGUGAAAUUCGUAGAUAUCGGGAGGAAUACCGGUGGCGAAGGCGACUACCUGGCCAGAUACUGACGCUGAGGUGCGAAAGCGUGGGGAGCAAACA